This 384-nucleotide non-coding RNA is filed under the name Vibrio genomosp. F10. The record is from RNAcentral. Lineage: Bacteria; Pseudomonadati; Pseudomonadota; Gammaproteobacteria; Vibrionales; Vibrionaceae.
AAGACCCAAGGAAAGGUCAUCUUCAGGAAGAAGAUAUGGUUAUUCAGGAAGAAUAGUCAGCAAGGACUGCAAAGGACAUUAGCUGGAUGCUAGUAGCAAGGAUUGUUACCAACUAUGUUAAUGGACGCUUAAAGGAUUAAGGCAAAUCUUUGUCAGGAUGAUGAAGUUAGGACACUACUCACGGAAGGGUGAUGUAAGUUAGCCAGGAAAGCUAACGGGCAGGAUGGCCAAGGACACCGCUAGGAUGGCGAUGAUAUGGAAAGCGCUGAAGGAAUCAGCCUACUAUCAAGGAUUCGAUGCAGGGAGCAUCUAUCAGUAGCAGGAUUGCUGCGAGUAAGAACAGAAAACCCACUGAGCGAAAGCUGAGUGGGUUUUUUCUUAUCU